GACGUCAUUCAAAGACUAGUCCCGCUUAAAAUGUCCCGUUACUGUUUGUGUAUUUAUGAAAUCGAUGGAUUUGACGCUGAGCUACAGGUCUUAUGGCUGAGUCCUUUACUGUGAAGGUCUGGUACGAGAGCAAUCGUGUUAAAUCGGUUGCACCUUUAUCGUCCUUCUCCUCUGGCGAAGAGCAGAGAAAUGUGUGACAUAAAAAGGUGCUUCUCAGUCGUGAUUCUGACUGGGCUCCAGUAGCAGGAACAUGUCUGUGCUUGGCUUCGGGGCCUGCAGAACUUCUGAAGAUGUUGAGACUCUUCGUUAUGGAAACUGGUGACUCAGGUUCUGUGGUAACGUGACAACCACUAUGGAACAUCUAUGGUGCUUUAAUUUGUGCAGCUCAGGAGGAAACGUGCGUGUGUUCACACCAGCUGUCACACAUCUACCCACAAACUGCAGGUGUGACGUACAGACCCGUGAGAGCCCUCACACUAAGAACAGACUGCCCGACAGGCAUCGUAAAGCUUCAUCUGGAAACCUCCUCGGUGUCAUGUGGUUCUGAAGUCUUUGCUGGCUACUUGUGUGUGUGCAACAAUGAUCGGUACCGUGCUUCUGCUGUGCUUCCUCUUCAGUUGGAUCCGGCCUGUAGAUGCCAGAAUGGUCCAUUUGGACCCUGGCGUCCGUGGCGCUGAAAAGGCCGUCCAGCUGAGCCUGGCCAAGGACUCUGUGGACGACAUGUUCUUUGGUUGCAGUGCAGCAAUGACUGAGCUGGUUAAGAACACGCUGUUUAAAAAAGAAAACAAAGGAAUGUUUGCAGACGUCUGGAAAGGAGCUGAAGCGUGUGCAGUGAAGAACCUGAAGAAGAGAAAGGCAGAAGACGAAGCCUUGACCAAGCAGCACAUGCAGGCCAUCUGUGCAUACACGUCUGACGAAGACGGAGACUUUUACAACACGUUCAACCAAGCUCUCAGGAGAAACAUGAAGAAUUAUGGAGCUGGCUUCCCCUUUCACACCUUGUACUUCUGGCUGACAUCAGCUGUUCAGCUUCUCAACAACAAUAAGAAGUGCCACACGACGUUCCGCAGAACCAACCUGGACUUCACUGGGAAGGUCAGUGGGGAAGUGAGGUUCGGAUCCUUUGCAUCCAGCUCCUAUAAACCCACCCUGGUGGACUUUGGUAAUAAGACCUGCUUCAGGAUUCGGACGUGUUUGGGUGCGUCCCUGAGGAGCUUCUCUGUGGUGAAGGAGGAGGAAGAGGUUCUGAUUGCUCCCUACGAGAUUUUCAAGAUCACUGCGAAAAAGAAAGGUUGUGAUGUGCCAGAACUGGUGGGAUGUCGGGUCGUCUACAUGCUGCAGAGUGUCGGACUUCUCAGUAACCUGAACUGUAAGCUUGUGAACGCUGUGACAGAACACACCGAAGGUCUCAGUGAUCACGGUUCUGUCAGCGAUUUCUUUGGCCAAACUUUAUGAAUGAGUAAAUGUGGCCUUCAACAAAACAAAGUUGUGGAUUAGAUCUUGGUGAGAUAAGAUAAGAUAGACUUUAUUCAUCCCACAAUGGGAAAUUCUUUUGUCCGCAGCAGCAAGGAGGCGUUAAAUAGGACAAACAGUACAGCAGUAAGGAGAACAGGAAAUAGAACAGAUGGCAGCAGUAUUAACUAUACAAGAAAAAAUUAAAAACUAAUCAAGUAAGUGAAAAAUCUUUAUUAAAAAAAUCAAGUAAAAUUUCCAUAUUGCACGACAACGAUAAUAUAAUCAGUGAAUACCAGAGUAUGAAAACAAUGACAGAACAGAAGCAACAACAGACAACAAACAACAAUGGAAUUCACCGUGUGGGUACAGUUGUGUGUCACUGCAGUGCUGUGUUGUGUGACGUCUGUGGGAGCAGUGACCUGCAGCAGCUCCUUCCUGCCUGUGGCUGUAACAGUGUGGUGCUGAAGGAGCUGCUCAGAGCCUCCGUGUGGUGCAGGGGUGGAGGUGUUCUCCAUGAUGGAUGUUAGUUCACCAGCAUCCUUCUGUCCUCCACCUCCUCCAUGGACAGAGUGCAGCCCAGGACAGAGCCGGCUUUUCUGAACCAGUGUUGAGUCUCUUCCUGUCUCUGCCUGCACUGCCCCCAACCAGCACACAGCUCCAUACAGGACUACUGAGGCCACCACAGUGUCAUAAGUCCUUAGCAGCUGUCUGCACACACCACAGGACCUCAGUCUCCUCAGCAGGUGGAGGCCACUCGGGCUCUUCUUAUACAGAGUCUGUGUUGUUUGACCAGUCCAGUUUAUUGUUGAGGUGAACACCCAGGUAUUUAACAACAGUUCCCACAGUCUCACUGUCUGAGCCCUGGAUGUUCACUGGUGUGUGGUGGAGGGGACCUCCUGAAGCACUAACUCCUUCGUUUUGCGCAGGUGACUGAGGUCAAUCCUCUCUGUGGCACUCACUUUUGACCUGCUUGUUCCUGGCAGCUCGUGUGUGCCGGGUUUGUCUCAUAUCUCAACAUUCGUCUCGUCAUUUCUGAACUGGCUUUUGGUCUUCAUGCUCUGCAGACAGACACAACCUGAGCUGCAAGUAUUGCACACGUGCAUCGCUUGCAGGUGCAGAAAUACGCUCUGAAUUUGACACGUUUGGCCACAGACAUGUGAACUGAGUUGUCUGAUUGAAGCACUUGGUGCGAAGCUCUGCUCUUCAUUAGCUGAUGAGUUUGGUGCCGGUGUUUCUGAAUAACCUGCUUUAGGUGAUGCCUGGUUGCUGAGCGGUGACAUGCUGCGGCUGUGGUUCCUCCUCUGCUGAAUGCUGCCUGUAGAGGCCACGAUGAGGAGUGACCCACAACUCGCUGUGUGGUGGAUGAGGAACAGACACAGUCAGAUGAUGUUAAAGCUGUUUAAUAUAAUGUAACAUGUUAUGUGUCCCUGUGUUCACAGGUAAUUUUUUUUUGUCCAGCAGUUUAACAAGCAGCAUAUGCUAUGCUGAAUGCCAUAUUGUGAUGGACAGCUUUGCUUUAACAAGAGGGGUAUAUAUAAAAUAUAUAUACUCUUCUUGAUUUAUGGUUUAUUUAAUAGUUGAUUUAGCUAAUCCCAAAUAUGUGUGAUGUUGCUCUGUUGGUGAACAGGUUGGGUUCCUGCUUUAGGGUGUGUAUGCGGGAGGGGGGGUUGCAACCAGCUGCUGAAACCAAGCAAAUCUGUUAAGUAAAGAAUCGGUGCAAAAUAAAUAAGAAGCAGGGAUGUACCAUAGGCAAACACAUUCAUAACUAAACAACUGUUGUACUGUGGUUUACCUUGGAGAUUAAUACUAAUACCAAUAAUAGUGUUAAGGUAUGUGCACAUACUCAUACAAACAUAUAUCAUACACAUACACAUAUGCAUUGUUAUACAUAUCCCAUACAACACCACAAUUUCCAUAUUCACACAUUAUUGAUUUUGGUAGUGAUAAGUAUCAGUAAUACUUACAGUUGGAUUUGGAAAGUGUCCCACUACAAGGUUAGUAGAGCUGUAGCUUAACAUUAUUCACCCAAAGGCUGAGGCAGACGUAGGUGCAUGAACAAUGCCACUAGUGAAAGCCAGGGUGAUGGAUGAGCUCGGCCACUACGCCAUCCAACAAGCAGAGGAUAGAAUGCUAGCAGCCAGGGAGCCCACACACCUUCAGUUCAGGAGGGCAGGUGUUGGACCCAAGCCGCCCACACAGAGCCCCCCACAGAGCUGCAGCAGCCACAGAGACAGCACCCGAGGCCAGAGUGGGCCACUGUGGGUCAACGCUGUCCGCCCCAUGAGAACCAGGGGCAAACACUCCCCCCGGCGGGAGGGUCGGCCUGAAAGAGUGGAGCCCGAGGACCCACGGUCCCUACGGAACCCACCAGGAGAUGCCCCCGCGCCCAGAGUGGGGCCCACCCCCAUUCACAGGUGAAUGAGCCCCUCCCGCUCCACGUGGUGAACGCCGAUGUGGACGACAUGUACGUGGGCUAUAAAGUGAACAUGAGCCAACUGCGGGAUGAAAGAGGUCACGCAUGAAUGCAUCAGCAUUAUGGAGCAUGUCUUCAACCAGAGCCUCAAGCUGAGGGUGGUACCACGGCUCUGGAAGACUUCCUGUGUGGUACCAGUGCCCAAGACAACGCACCCUAAAGACCUCAACAACUUCAGGCCGGUGGCUCUGACACCACACCUCAUGAAGACACUGGAGAGACUGGUUCUACAUCAACUGCGCUGCAUGGUGAGCUCAGCAAUGGAUCUGCUGCAGUUUGCCUACCAGUCUGGCAUCGGAGUAAAGGACGCCAUCAUCUUCCUGCUCCAUCGUUCCCUGGCCCACCUUGGGAAGCCUGACAGCACUGUGAGGAUUCUGUUCUUCGACUUCUCCAGUGCCUUUAAUACCAUACAGCCGGCUCUCUUAAGGGACAAAUUGGAGUCAGCUGGCGUGGACAGUUACCUGACAGUGGAUACUGGACCACCUCACAAACCGUCCCAAGUUUGUGAGGGUCUGGGACUGCGUGUCGGACACUCUGACCUGCAGUGUGGGAGCCCCACAGGGGACUGUCCCGGCCCCCUUCGUCUUCACCCUCUACACUGCAGACUUCAGACACAACUCAUCUGGCUGUGUUCUGCAGAAGUUCUCUGACGACUCUGCAAUUGUUGGACUUAUUACUGACGAUGAUGACGCAGAGUACAGAGAACUGACACUGUGGUGGCGUCAGCCAUCCUGUACAGUGUGGUCUGCUGGAGCAGCAGCAUCACAGAGAGGGAGAGGAAGAAGCUGGAUCAGGUCAUUAAGAAGUCCAGCUCUGUCCUGGGCUGCACUCUGGAGUCAGUGAGGGAGGUGGGAGACAGAAGAGUUCUGGCAAAAUUCACAUCCAUGCUGGACCACGAGUCCCACCCACUGCAGGACACACUGUCUGCCCUGGAGAGCAGACUCAGUGACAGACUGAUUCACCCUCGCUGUGGGAAGGAGAGAUUCUGCAGGUCUUUCCUUCCUGCUUCUGUCAAACUUUAUAACAAACAAUUAUAACAUGGUGCACAUUUCUACCACACUGGCCCACACACGCUACAUCUCUAGGGCAAUUGCACCAGUCACUUUAAUAUCUUACUCACUUUGUUUGGUGCAGUCACCUUAUUUCAUUGUGUGCAUAAUGUUGAUAACCUGUGGAGUUCCAAGUUCUAAUUUCUUAUAAUUAUUGUGUUAUUAUUAUUAUUAUUAUGCUAUUUCCUCUGUAUUUAUGUCUAUAUGUCUUUGUGAUGUUGCAACAUGGUAAUUUCCUCAUUGCGGGACAAUGAAGGUAUUCUAUUCUAUGAGUAGACUGCAAAAUAAAAAACACAU
RNA transcript from Betta splendens (Siamese fighting fish), 5274 nucleotides. It is a transcript of the gene named ecto-ADP-ribosyltransferase 5-like, with no coding region annotated. The transcript is spliced from 4 exons. The record is from RefSeq and is a predicted model, not a curated record. NCBI's taxonomy places the organism in Eukaryota, Metazoa, Chordata, Actinopteri, Anabantiformes, Osphronemidae.